AUUGAACGCUGGCGGCAUGCUUUACACAUGCAAGUCGAACGGUAACAGGCCUUCGGGUGCUGACGAGUGGCGAACGGGUGAGUAAUGCAUCGGAACGUGCCCAGAGGUGGGGGAUAACGCAGCGAAAGCUGUGCUAAUACCGCAUGUGAUCUGAGGAUGAAAGCGGGGGACCAGGCAGCAAUGUUUGGCCUCGCGCCUUUGGAGCGGCCGAUGUCGGAUUAGUUAGUUGGUGGGGUAAAGGCCUACCAAGCCGACGAUCUGUAGCUGGUCUGAGAGGACGACCAGCCACACUGGGACUGAGACACGGCCCAGACUCCUACGGGAGGCAGCAGUGGGGAAUGUUGGACAAUGGGCGCAAGCCUGAUCCAGCAAUGCCGCGUGCGGGAAGAAGGCCUUCGGGUUGUAAACCGCUUUUGUACGGAACGAAAAGGCUCUGGCUAAUACCUGGGGCUGAUGACGGUACCGUAAGAAUAAGCACCGGCUAACUACGUG
This 492-nucleotide ribosomal RNA is filed under the name uncultured bacterium. Its description in RNAcentral is "partial 16S ribosomal RNA". It matches the Rfam family "Bacterial small subunit ribosomal RNA", at positions 30 to 507 of the family's 1533-position model. The record is from RNAcentral.